AAUAGAUCAAUUGAAGAGGUAGCUUCAAAACCUAAACCAAACUUACACGAAUUUAAAACGAAGAAUAGUUCACCUUUUCAUAAAAUUUGAUAGAACGUUCAAGGUCACCCACACGAAGCAUCACUUGACAGAGUGGUUCAGGAGUUGGACCGCGUUGAAUUAGUUCGAAAAGGUAGCCAUCAGGAUCCUUAACAAAUGCAAUCACAGAUGAUCCACCUUUAACUGGACCUGGCUCUCGAGUGACAGUUCCACCCUUGGACUUUAUGUCUUCAACCAGUUUAUAAACCUAACGGAUGGAAACAGAAAAUGUCAGGCAAACUAAACUAUGCAAGGCACCAUAAUAUG
Molecule: long non-coding RNA, 345 nt
Filed under: Olea europaea subsp. europaea
Lineage: Eukaryota; Viridiplantae; Streptophyta; Magnoliopsida; Lamiales; Oleaceae
Source: RNAcentral